This is a long non-coding RNA of Rhagoletis zephyria (snowberry fruit fly), 96 nucleotides long. RefSeq lists it as uncharacterized. NCBI's taxonomy places the organism in Eukaryota, Metazoa, Arthropoda, Insecta, Diptera, Tephritidae. The record is from RefSeq and is a predicted model, not a curated record.
UCAAAUGAGUUAGUUGAAUGAACUGACUCCCUAAAGUGAGUUGGAGUCAUUGAGUCAAUUCUUAUAAAUUUGCUGACCAAACAAAAUUUUCAUAUC